Non-coding RNA from Chlorocebus sabaeus (green monkey), 2436 nucleotides. Lineage: Eukaryota; Metazoa; Chordata; Mammalia; Primates; Cercopithecidae. The record is from RefSeq and is a predicted model, not a curated record.
GGCUGCGAACAGCCGAGUAGAUGUUUUAGCUGAAAUGUCCCCGAACCCUCUUCCAUCCAGUCUCCCCACUGCGCCUGCAUGAUCUCUUCAGAGUCAAACAAUGGAUGCUCUGGUCCAGCCUCCUUGCCCGGCUCUACCCUCUCCAGGUCUUUCCUACCUGUUGCUCCCCUCAUUCUGAGCCCUACCACUAGGCGGGGUCCCUUGAGCCCCAAGGGGCCCAGCUUCAUCCUCCUAGGGCCUCACAAAUGCCUACUAGGCCCCCGGGGCGUGCUCCAACUUCACUUCCCCAGGCAGCCUCCCCAGCUCAAGGCUGGGUCAGCCUGCUGCCCCUGUGCUCCCUUCUGAACAUGGUCUUCCCUAUGAACCUCCUGCCUCACUUCUCAGAGUGUGAUGAUGCACGGCAGAGGCCACAGGAGAUCCCAUGUGUGUCCCCCUCCGUCCCCCUCCAGCCUCCCCUUGGCUGCCGGCCACCUAGGCACAGAAGUCCUGUCUGUUUCACUUCCUGUUUCCUCCUGCUCCUACGAGGGAGGCACUCAGCCCGACUCUGUUGAAUGAGACAGGAGGAUAAUAAGUUUGUGCUGCUUGAGGCUGCCAGGUUGGGGUGAGACCUCAGAGCAGCAAGAAACACAUGCAUGCAGGAACGUGGGGCCGCCGCCUUCUAGCCAUGACUGGCUCCAAGCCUGGGGCCACCACAGGAGGGUCACGUUGGAGGAGCCCCAAGGAACAGAGCUGUGAGAGUCACCCCGGAAGAGGAGCACAGCCUGCAGCCUACGACAGAGCCAGCUGAGGCGGCCUCGCAGGAAGGAGCCGGGAGGCUCAGCGCCUGGCCCCAGCCUGCCCCUGCCCCUGGUCUCCUUCUGGGGUUCCCCAGGGGCUAGACCCCAAGGAAGCUGGCAGGACAGGAGUCCAUGUGAGCUGUACCCCGCAGCUCAGCCACAGACAACAGAUGGCGAAGACAGAGCCUGGGGGUGGAAGGACAGGCUGGUCACACCGCAGACCACAGGGUCAAGAGCCGGGAGAGGCCAGGGGCCUGCGGGCUGGACCUGGGGAAUGAGUUCCCCCUUCCCAAGUCUCAAGCGAUGCCCUUGGAGAGGGUCCCCAGCUUUGCUCUGCUUCCGAAUCCUGAGCGGAGCCUGCAAAGAACACAGAUGUCCAGGCCACACCCAGCAGCAUCUGAAUAAGACACGGAGGUGGGGAGGGAAGGGGCGGCGGAGGGCGGCGGAAGGUGAAUGCUCGCUGCUGCACCCGCUUCCUAGUAGCUCUUUCCUGGGAGAACAACUUCCUGUCCUCACAGCAUAUCUGGAGACUCAGUAUCUGACUUCACCAUGGCCAUGCCCUUGACUCUGAGUGGAACACAUGGGUCGCGUGUCUGGAAUCCAUGUGUGCCCAGCAUCCCGUGAGCUUGGCACUAGAAUGGGCUUUCGGAGAGAGAAUGGCAACUGCAGUCUCUUUUGGUUCCUUAGUAAAUUGGAGGGACCUGAACUUUGCCCAGGCAGGCUUGACAUUCUGUUUAUUCCACACAGCACAGUUCAGGAAGAGACUGAACUCGGCUAAGUCAUCCUUUUGUGACCUUGUAUUUGACGAUUCUAACUGGAGGAUGUUAAGAGUGAGAAGCAGAAGCUCCUAACAACAGGACAGACAAAGGCACUAUGCCGGGGAAAUGCCCAGGGGCCCUUCAUGACCCAGAGCCGGGGAGCCGGGCGCAGGCAGAGGCCGCUGCACAUUCACCACACUCAGGCCAUGUGCCGGCCUCAGGCUUGACAAGCUCAGGCCUUUGGUUAAAGCCUUUCUAGCACAUUGAUAUACUUUCCAUUUACAACCUAUUCUGAAGUGAAGGGCAUUCUACGUGGACAAUAUUCACAGCAAUUCUAGAGACAGGUCUUAUCCUCCCUAUGUCACUCCCAGUCAUUGGUCCCACCUCUAAGAGGAAGACAAAUCUCUUAAUACUCAGCAGACAGCUUCCAAAGUUUGUCUCUCUCCUCUAAGUAUCACUGGGUCUUCUUUUGUUCACAAGAAUGCAGAACAAUGUUCCAAGUACUAUUAUGUUUCUAAACUUUAAGAUUGUUCAUUUUCAAGAAACAAAUAACUAUAACCACGUGACUAUGUAUAACCAAUAACUAUACCCUUGAUAAUAUUUCAACAUACUCCAAAAGGAAACUUUGAGUCCAUUUUACAUUCAGCAAGUUAAUAUUAAACUAUGUGGCACAUCAAAAGCUUUAAAUUAAUAAUGUGUGUUUUAAGUGUUACAAACCACGUCAAGUGUACAUCUAAUAUACGAACCAACAACUGAAAAUACUACGGUUGAGUAGGCUGUGAGUUCCUUGUAGUUAAAUAAAUUAUUACAAAGAGUAUUAUUAUGAAAGGUAUGUGCUAUGCCAAGCACUAACAAGAUGUAGAUGUGGUCACGAGCUAGCUACAGUAAAAUGAAAAGGAAAA